UCCGAAGGGGGCUAUCGUUGUUCGGAAUCACUGGGCGUAAAGCGCACGUAGGCGGAUUGUUAAGUCAGGGGUGAAAUCCCGAGGCUCAACCUCGGAACUGCCUUUGAUACUGGCGAUCUAGAGUCCGGGAGAGGUGAGUGGAACUGCGAGUGUAGAGGUGAAAUUCGUAGAUAUUCGCAAGAACACCAGUGGCGAAGGCGGCUCACUGGCCCGGAACUGACGCUGAGGUGCAAAAGCGUGGGAGAAAACAGG
Molecule: ribosomal RNA, 252 nt
Filed under: uncultured bacterium
Lineage: Bacteria
Description: partial 16S ribosomal RNA
Rfam family: Bacterial small subunit ribosomal RNA
Source: RNAcentral